ACACGUAGGGGCCUGACGUUGUUCGGAAUCAUUGGGCGUAAAGGGCGCGCAGGCGGCCGUCCAAGUCCGGUGUUAAAUGGUCGGGCUCAACCCGAUCAUGCGCUGGAAACUGGGCGGCUUGAGUCCCGUAGGGGAUGCCGGAAUUCCAGGUGCAGGGGGGAAAUCUGUAGAUAUCUGGAAGAACACCGAUGGCGAAGGCAGGCAUCUGGCCGGAGACUGACGCUGAGGCGCGAAGGCGCGGGGAGCGAACAGGUUUAGAUACCCUGGUAGUCCGCGCAGUAAACGAUGCGCACCAGGUGUCGGGCGGCAGCGCCCGGUACCGGAGCUAACGCGAUGAGUGCGCCGCCUGGGGAGUAUGCCCGCAAGGGUGAAACUCAAAGGAAUUGACGGGG
RNAcentral lists this ribosomal RNA (392 nucleotides) under uncultured bacterium. RNAcentral's name for it is "partial 16S ribosomal RNA". It matches the Rfam family "Bacterial small subunit ribosomal RNA", at positions 523 to 918 of the family's 1533-position model. The record is from RNAcentral.